GACGAACGCUGGCGGCGUGCCUAAUACAUGCAAGCAGAACGCUGAAGAGAGGAGCUUCCUCUUCUUGGAUGAGUUGCGAACGGGUGAGUAACGCGUAGGUAACCUGCCUUGUAGCGGGGGAUAACUAUUGGAAACGAUAGCUAAUACCGCAUAACAAUGGAUGACACAUGUCAUUUAUUUGAAAGGGGCAAUUGCUCCACUACAAGAUGGACCUGCGUUGUAUUAGCUAGUAGGUGAGGUAAUGGCUCACCUAGGCGACGAUACAUAGCCGACCUGAGAGGGUGAUCGGCCACACUGGGACUGAGACACGGCCCAGACUCCUACGGGAGGCAGCAGUAGGGAAUCUUCGGCAAUGGGGGCAACCCUGACCGAGCAACGCCGCGUGAGUGAAGAAGGUUUUCGGAUCGUAAAGCUCUGUUGUAAGUCAAGAACGGGUGUGAGAGUGGAAAGUUCACACUGUGACGGUAGCUUACCAGAAAGGGACGGCUAACUACGUG
This 497-nucleotide ribosomal RNA is filed under the name uncultured bacterium. RNAcentral describes it as "partial 16S ribosomal RNA". It matches the Rfam family "Bacterial small subunit ribosomal RNA", at positions 28 to 507 of the family's 1533-position model. The record is from RNAcentral.